ACUCAGCCUCGGGGGCACUUUCU
Molecule: microRNA, 23 nt
Filed under: Macaca mulatta (Rhesus monkey)
Lineage: Eukaryota; Metazoa; Chordata; Mammalia; Primates; Cercopithecidae
Description: Mml-Mir-430-P8_5p* (star (passenger))
Source: RNAcentral